This 533-nucleotide ribosomal RNA is filed under the name Staphylococcus aureus. Its description in RNAcentral is "partial 23S ribosomal RNA". It matches the Rfam family "Bacterial large subunit ribosomal RNA", at positions 2290 to 2822 of the family's 2925-position model. The record is from RNAcentral. Lineage: Bacteria; Bacillati; Bacillota; Bacilli; Caryophanales; Staphylococcaceae.
CUAAAAGGUAACGGAGGCGCUCAAAGGUUCCCUCAGAAUGGUUGGAAAUCAUUCAUAGAGUGUAAAGGCAUAAGGGAGCUUGACUGCGAGACCUACAAGUCGAGCAGGGUCGAAAGACGGACUUAGUGAUCCGGUGGUUCCGCAUGGAAGGGCCAUCGCUCAACGGAUAAAAGCUACCCCGGGGAUAACAGGCUUAUCUCCCCCAAGAGUUCACAUCGACGGGGAGGUUUGGCACCUCGAUGUCGGCUCAUCGCAUCCUGGGGCUGUAGUCGGUCCCAAGGGUUGGGCUGUUCGCCCAUUAAAGCGGUACGCGAGCUGGGUUCAGAACGUCGUGAGACAGUUCGGUCCCUAUCCGUCGUGGGCGUAGGAAAUUUGAGAGGAGCUGUCCUUAGUACGAGAGGACCGGGAUGGACAUACCUCUGGUGUACCAGUUGUCGUGCCAACGGCAUAGCUGGGUAGCUAUGUGUGGACGGGAUAAGUGCUGAAAGCAUCUAAGCAUGAAGCCCCCCUCAAGAUGAGAUUUCCCAACUUCG